RNAcentral lists this ribosomal RNA (469 nucleotides) under uncultured bacterium. RNAcentral describes it as "partial 16S ribosomal RNA". It matches the Rfam family "Bacterial small subunit ribosomal RNA", at positions 28 to 507 of the family's 1533-position model. The record is from RNAcentral.
GACGAACGCUGGCGGCGUGCUUAACACAUGCAAGUCGAACGGAAAGGCCCUGCUUGCAGGGUGCUCGAGUGGCGAACGGGUGAGUAACACGUGGGUGAUCUGCCCCUUACUUUGGGAUAAGCCUGGGAAACUGGGUCUAAUACUGGAUAGGACCGUGCUGUAGGUGGUGUGGUGGAAAGAUUAGUUUCGGUAAGGGAUGAGCUCGCGGCCUAUCAGCUUGUUGGUGGGGUAAUGGCCUACCAAGGCGUCGACGGGUAGCCGGCCUGAGAGGGUGGACGGCCACAUUGGGACUGAGAUACGGCCCAGACUCCUACGGGAGGCAGCAGUGGGGAAUAUUGCACAAUGGGCGCAAGCCUGAUGCAGCGACGCCGCGUGGGGGAUGAAGGCCUUCGGGUUGUAAACUCCGUUCAGCCAUGACGAAGCCCUUGUGGUGACGGUAGUGGUAGAAGAAGCACCGGCUAACUACGUG